CACAGGUCUCUGCUAAAGCGCAAGCUGAUGUAUAGGGGCUGACGCCUGCCCGGUGCUGGAAGGGUAAGGGGAAUAGUUAGCGCAAGCGAAGCUAUGAACUUAAGCCCCAGUAAACGGCGGCCGUAACUAUAACGGUCCUAAGGUAGCGAAAUUCCUUGUCGGGUAAGUUCCGACCCGCACGAAUGGCGUAAUGAUUUGAGCACUGUCUCGGCAAUAAAUCCGGUGAAAUUGUAGUGCAAGUGAAGAUGCUUGCUACCCGCGGUUGGACGGAAAGACCCCGUAGAGCUUUACUGUAGCUUAGCAUUGAAUUUCGGUAUUGUCUGUACAGGAUAGGUGGGAGACUUAGAAGCGAGGGCGUCAGCUUUCGUGGAGUCGUCCUUGGGAUACCACCCUGACAGUACUGGAAUUCUAACUGGAGGCCAUGAAUCUGGUCACAGGACAUUGCUAGGUGGGCAGUUUGACUGGGGCGGUCGCCUCCUAAAAGGUAACGGAGGCGCCCAAAGGUUCCCUCAGCGCGGUCGGAAAUCGCGCGUAGAGUGCAAAGGCAGAAGGGAGCCUGACUGCGACACAUACAGGUGGAGCAGGGACGAAAGUCGGGCUUAGUGAUCCGGUGGUUCUGUAUGGAAGGGCCAUCGCUCAACGGAUAAAAGCUACCUCGGGGAUAACAGGCUGAUCUCCCCCAAGAGUCCACAUCGACGGGGAGGUUUGGCACCUCGAUGUCGGCUCGUCGCAUCCUGGGGCUGUAGUCGGUCCCAAGGGUUGGGCUGUUCGCC
RNAcentral lists this ribosomal RNA (773 nucleotides) under Clostridium botulinum D/C. RNAcentral describes it as "partial 23S ribosomal RNA". It matches the Rfam family "Bacterial large subunit ribosomal RNA", at positions 1814 to 2585 of the family's 2925-position model. The record is from RNAcentral. Lineage: Bacteria; Bacillati; Bacillota; Clostridia; Eubacteriales; Clostridiaceae.